Molecule: ribosomal RNA, 83 nt
Filed under: Salmonella enterica subsp. enterica serovar Infantis
Lineage: Bacteria; Pseudomonadati; Pseudomonadota; Gammaproteobacteria; Enterobacterales; Enterobacteriaceae
Also listed under: 2 other names
Description: partial 23S ribosomal RNA
Rfam family: Bacterial large subunit ribosomal RNA
Source: RNAcentral
GGUUAAGCGACUAAGCGUACACGGUGGAUGCCCUGGCAGUCAGAGGCGAUGAAGGGCGUGCUAAUCUGCGAUAAGCGCCGGUA